This 4756-nucleotide unclassified non-coding RNA is filed under the name Megachile rotundata (alfalfa leafcutting bee). RNAcentral describes it as "slit homolog 3 protein, transcript variant X1". The record is from RNAcentral. Lineage: Eukaryota; Metazoa; Arthropoda; Insecta; Hymenoptera; Megachilidae.
UAGCGAGUGUUAUGGUUUCGAGAGUGUCGUGGCCGACGGAUAUUCUCUCUGGCCCUUUGCGUACGGAAGACUCGUGCAAGUUCGUCGCGGUUCGAACGGUUAUGGAAACUCGGUGAAAUCGGAUCGUAAUUUCUGAACAGGGUGCGAUUAUUCGCGUCGCUCAUGCACGCGCUUCAGCAAUGGGACAUUUUGCGUACGAAUUGAAAAACAAGGUUUCGAGGACGGUAUCUCGGUGCAAAAGCAUGAACAGCGAGGCGGCAAACGUCGUGGAUGCGCCGCUGAGUCAGCUACGUAAACAGGCGUCCUUUUGACAAGAGGGGAGAAAGCGAAACGCGCGAACCGAAUUCAUAAAGCGUCUCGACGUUUGCGCGUAAUUAUUUCGAGAGAUCCGUUCUGUUACGAGGAUACUCUCAGUCAAACGAGUCGAGUGGUCCGGGGCUCGAAAUGUUUGAAGCGCGGACGAUUUGCCGGUCGGGUGAAGUGUGAUUCUUUAAGUGUGGACUACUUGAAAAGUACUCCGGUGAAACGCGAUAAUAUUGUGCCUCUCGUGCUCGUUUCAAAGACAGCUUGAUAUCAACGAGUACCGUGUCCCGGAAUCGUUAACGACGAUUCGAAUCGACGAGAUAGCCCGCGAUCGAGGAUCGACGAUCUCGAACGAUCGGCAGCGCCACUGGUCCCAGACAGGGCGUACGGGAGCGACGACAGCGCGCGUAAAAAGAGCCGCUUGGAGGCGUGUGAUGACCGGGAGGAGCGGAAACAAGGGAAGGCAACGGGUUCGCUAAAGAUGCGUGGGUUCACCGGUCCGGAAGGGCUGAGGAGAUCGGUGUCGCCGUCGUUGCUUUACUACUACUGUCUUCUGGUCCCGGUGUACCACGUGCUCGCCGUGACCAGCGAGCUACCGCCCGGGCCCGAUCUGCCCGAGCAUUGUUUGUGGACUCCCUGGCAGGAUGGCGUGGUCACCUGCGUUCACCGUUACGCCGGCAACGACUCGCUGCGGACGAACUUCUCGCAGGCGACCAGCGAAUACGUGACUACCGUGAACGUGGUCUGCGAGGACCCCGAGUCGCUCGGAAACGGUGUCCUGAACGUGGACGGGUUCGUCCAGUUAUGGAGAUUGCGAUCGCUGAAACUGAUCGGAUGCAAGCUGGUACAUUGGCCGGCGAAAGUUCUCGGCGGCCUGCGAGAUCUCCGUAAUCUGACGAUCAGAAGCUUGAACGGGCGAAAGAGCAAUUACAGUUUGGAGGUGGAGAGCGGAGCGUUCGACUCGGUCCCGCAGAUCGAGAAGAUCGAUUUAUCGUGGAACAACAUCUGGCAGUUACCGGAACACUUGUUUUGCCCUCUGUCGAACCUGCUCACGUUGAACAUCUCCUGGAACAUGCUGAAGGACAUCACCGAGCUCAGCUUCAGGGACACGGAGCCGGAAAAGCAUCCGAGACGCCUGCCGGAAUCGACCCCGUCACCGUAUCCCUGUUCCUUGGACAUACAGUCGUUGGAUUUGUCGAACAAUCAAAUUCUUGUGCUGCCCGCCCACGGGUUUUCCUCCUUGAAGAGGUUGCGGGUGUUGAACUUGUCCAGCAACGCGAUCUCCAUGGUAGCGGACGAGGCGCUACACGGACUGAGAUCGCUGGAGACGUUCGAUCUGUCCGGAAACAGGAUCGUCGCGUUACCGACGGAAAUGUUCAAAGACUCGGCGAAAUCUUUGAAGGAGUUACGACUGCAGAAUAACACCAUCAGCGUGCUGUCGCCCGGUCUGAUCGCCGACAUGAAUCAGCUGGUCGAACUGGACCUAUCGAGAAACGCGCUGACCAGCUCUUGGUUGAACUCCGCCACGUUCUCUGGCCUGAUUCGUCUGGUCCUGCUGAAUCUGUCCCAUAAUCGAAUCAGUCGGUUGGACCCGGCCCUCUUCAAAGACCUUUACACCCUGCAGAUAUUGAAUUUGCAAUACAACGAGAUCGAGACGAUACCGGCGGACACGUUCGCGCCGAUGAGCAAUCUGCACAGGCUAGAUCUAACGUAUAAUCGAUUAACCUACCUGGACGCUUACUCCCUGAAUGGGCUGUUCGCACUUUCCCUGCUAUCGCUCGAUUCUAAUCAACUCGAAGGUAUUCACCCGGAUGCCUUUCGGAAUUGCUCCAGUAUGCAGGAGUUGAAUCUGUCCGGUAACAGUCUGGACAGCAUACCGGUCGCUCUGAAGGACAUGAGGAUGCUUCGUACGUUGGAUCUGGGCGAGAAUCAAAUCAGAAGCCUGAACAGGCCGGGAUUUCGUGGAAUGUCCAGUCUGUACGGAUUACGGAUGAUCGAGAACGAGAUCACGAACGUCACCGUCGAGGAUUUCGCCGAGUUGCCCGCUCUGCAGAUCCUGAAUCUGGCUAGGAACAAGAUCGAAACGGUGGAAGACGGAGCGUUUUCCGCGAACCCGGCGUUGCAGGCGAUUCGUUUCGACUCGAAUCUGUUGCAGGACAUGUCCGGCAUGUUCGCGAGCGCGCCUGGUCUGCUCUGGUUGAACAUGUCCGACAACAUGAUCGUACAGUUCGAUUACGGUUACUUGCCGGAGAAAUUGCAGUGGAUGGAUCUGCAUAAAAAUCUUAUUAUGGAUCUCGGGAUCGCGCCGCAGGGCAUGAAAUUAAGGACGCUCGACGUGUCGUUCAACCGGCUAACGAGGAUACACUCGAGAUCGAUACCGGAUUCCAUCGAGCUUCUGUUCGUCAACGAUAAUCUGAUACAUACCGUCGAGCCUCAGACGUUUUUGAACAAGAAAGAUCUGACCAGAGUGGAUCUUUACGCGAAUCAGAUCGUCAAGAUGAACCUGUCCGCGCUUCAGUUGACACAGGUGCCCACUUACCGGCGACUGCCCGAGUUUUAUAUAGGGGGCAAUCCGUUCAUAUGCGACUGCACCACCGAGUGGUUGCAGCGAAUCAAUUCUCUGACGCUGAGGCAACACCCUCGGGUAAUGGAUCUGGAGUCGGUUUAUUGUCGGCUUCCCUACGAUCGACACAAAUCUUACAUACCGUUGCUCGAGGCUAAACCCUCUCAAUUUCUCUGCACGUACAAGGCUCACUGUUUCGCGCUCUGUCAUUGUUGCGACUUCGACGCCUGCGACUGCGAGAUGACCUGCCCGACCAACUGCACUUGCUAUCACGAUCAAUCCUGGUCGGCGAACGUGGUGGAUUGCUCCAACUCCGGCUACAAAACGCUGCCCGGUCGAUUACCGAUGGACGCCACCGAGGUUUACCUCGAUGGAAACAAUUUCGGGGAAUUGAAUUCCCAUUCGUUCAUCGGCCGGAAGAACCUGCAGAUCCUGUACGCGAACGAUAGCAACAUCAUCGCUAUACGGAAUCACACCUUCAGCGGUCUAAAGCGGCUGUUGGUCCUUCAUCUGGAGAACAACAAGAUAAGCGUGCUCAACGGCGUGGAACUGAUGCCGCUCGAAAACCUGAAGGAGCUCUACCUGCAAAACAAUCUACUGACUUAUAUAGAUAACCAAACGUUUCUUCCGCUACGUCAGCUGGAAGUGCUGCGCCUGGAGAAUAAUCGGCUGGGCACUUUCGCCGUUUGGCAACUCGGCCAGAAUCCGUAUCUGGUGGACAUCGGGCUGUCGAGCAACCCGUGGAGCUGCGAGUGCUCUUACUUGGAUCGUGUGCGCGAGUGGAUGUCCCGUAAUCGAGCAAAGAUCAGCGACUGGCGUAGCGUCACCUGUUCCCUCGGCGUGCCCAUAACUCUUCCGGCCAACGGAUCGGUCAUAAAUUGCGCGGCAUUAACGGGCACGACCUCGGUCAUCGAGACCCGACCGCUCGAGGCUUAUCUGCCGCUACUGCUGGCCACCGCCGUGCUCAUUUUUUCCAUGGUGGCGUUGGUGUGCGGCGCCUUCAGGCAUCGCCGUACGCUCAGGGCAUGGGCAGCCAGCAGAUGCGGACUGAGAGCAUGCUACAAGACGGCCGCGUUCGAGGACCAGGAGAAACCCUUCGACGCCUACAUCUCCUAUUCGGCCGUGGACGAGGCGUUCGUAUCCACUAUCCUGGUACCGGGUCUGGAGACCUCGUACCGUUUGUGUUUGCACUAUCGGGACUUGGGCGCCGGCAGCAACGUCGCCGACGCAGUGGCCGAAGCUGCCGAUUCCUCGAGGCGCACCAUCCUGGUGCUCUCCAAGAACUUUCUGCACGGCGAGUGGGCCAGGUUCGAGUUUAAAGCGGCGCUUAGGGACGCUCUGAAAGGCAAGGGCCGCUCGGUGAUCCUGCUGCUGGUAGGCGGUGUGUGUCCACGGGAUCUCGACGCCGAUCUCAAAAAGAGAAUCUCCUCGCACACCGUCCUGGUGUGGGGGGACAAGUUGUUUUGGCAGAAGCUAAGGUUCGCCAUGCCAGACGUGUCCCCUGUUCCUGUUUUGGAGAGACCCUUGCCAUUGCCGCCGCCGCCCCCGCCCCCGGCGCAGCAUCAAUGGACGUAGAACUACCAUUAUUUAGAUGUGAACUGUUGCCAGAAGUAUUAUCGAUUCGCAUUACGCAUGAAGUAAUUGGAAAUCGCAGUGGGCAAAGAUUACCCGACUGUCGCGCGACGUUUCUCUCUACUUAUUAUCAAGAAGUAUUUCUUACUAUCGCAAUUGUACUCCGUAACACGGUGUUCUCACCUAAGUAAACGGUUUAUUCGUAUUUUUGAGACUCGUGAUAGCUUCGUAGUGUGCAAAUGUAAUUAGGGCGAUGAACAGCGAUAAACAAACCAAAACAAAAAAAAACAACAGAGCGAAGGAAAAGCACGGAAAAAA